This 277-nucleotide long non-coding RNA is filed under the name Lathyrus oleraceus (garden pea). RNAcentral's name for it is "Pisum sativum (pea) long non-coding RNA (PSAT_LNC000764)". Lineage: Eukaryota; Viridiplantae; Streptophyta; Magnoliopsida; Fabales; Fabaceae. The record is from RNAcentral.
CUCUUUAUCCACUCAAAACUCUUCUCUCGGGACUCACAAAAAAGAAAAGGAGAUCCACUCACCUCUUCUCACAAUCUCUCUGCUGACAUUCACCAAGACCACUCACCUAACCCUCUCUCUCUGCUACAAAAAAAAAAGAAAAGAGAAAACGAAGAGGGUUCUCCCUCUUCUUCCACCACCAUCUCCUUCAUAACGCCAGUCACCGACCACCCUCAUCACCACAUUCUUCUUCUCCGGUCGUGCCCUCACCGUCUCCCUCAACUCCACCGUUCGCCAU